Homo sapiens (human) is the source of this 1223-nucleotide long non-coding RNA. Ensembl annotates it as SRGAP3 antisense RNA 3. Its record names the gene SRGAP3-AS3. Lineage: Eukaryota; Metazoa; Chordata; Mammalia; Primates; Hominidae. The record is from Ensembl.
CUAAACUACAGCAGACACAGAGGACAAAUAUUGUAUGAGUCCGCUCACACGAGAUGCCUAGAGGAGCCAAAACCACGGAAACAGAAAGUAGACUGGGGCCUCAUUGAGAUGCCAGAUUGCUUCUUCAAGACCCUCCAAGGGGGCACGUCAAAUUCUGAUGGGCCUCACCUUGGACAAGGCUGGGGUUUUUAGACCAGCUUUCACAGCCUGGUUGCUCCAGUGUCAAGACUGACAGUGAUCCAGGGACCUUUAGGGCAGACAACUUCAUUGUGACAGAAUGAGACCUGUGGCCUUUGGACCUCGGUGGGGCCAUAUGUCACCCCUGCAGGCCCCAGGCCCCCCAAGCCACCAAGAGUCACAGAGGCAGGGAGGGGACAGGAGGAGAUCUUGCCCCCACUGCAUCUGGCUCUCCUGCCCUCACCAUCCGCAGCAGGGGGUACACUACAGCUUCGGCUUUACAAACACAGGGAAAAAGCUAACACAACCUUUAAGCCGCAUUAACAGGAUCAAGGGAUGUAUUAUUAGUCCUGCUAGCCUCCGAACCAUUGAGAGUACUUCUGAAAGACAGUGCUUACUUAGCUUGGGCUCCAGAUUUUAAGAGACCCGUUAAUAAUUUGGAAGGUUUAUUAGCAGACUGCAGAUCCAAAAAUGGUCCUCCUCUAUUUGGGAAGAUAUUGCAGGAAACAAUGCUCUAGGAGAGACCACAGCUGGGCCAGCCAGAUUGGUCAAAUCCACCCUAGAAAUGAAUUAGGGAGAAGAGAUGGCAGCCAGAUGGCUUUUUAAAUGUUGAUAAGCUGAAGUGUGGCCAGAAAAAGAGACCAGAGAAUGAGGGAAUAAGUCACCUAAAGCAUGAUGGCAGAAUCUAAGCAUAAACGCUUAGCAGAGAAAAUAAACACACCGUCCAUAUACACCAUGCCCAGCCCCAAGCCCAGGGCAGAUCUGAUACUCUCCUGCUGACCCUGACACAGCCUCAGAAUACUUCUCAACACAGACCGCCAGCUGUCACUGCAAUCCAGCACAGUUGGCACAUCAGGAGAGAGGCAUCUUGCAGUUCCACUCAAGAAAGACUUUCCUAGCAAGACUUUCCAACAAUGCAAAUAGUCUCAUUUCUGAGGUGGUCAGCCCCUUACUGCAGGAAGUUCCAAUCAGAAGCCUCAUGGUUGUCGAGGACUCUGCAUCAGAUGAGGGGGCUUGAGUAACUUUACCCCAUGAGGAAGCAGAAG